ACUGCUUCCUGCUAACGCACAUCUGAGUAGUAGCAGGUGACGGCUCCAGGUACUUGGGUCCCCGACACUCAUCUGGGAAACUCAGAUGGACCUCCAGCUCCUGCCUUUGGUCUGGUGCAAUCCAGCUGUUUUGGGCACUUGAGAAGUGAAUUAGGGGAUGGGAGAUCUCUAUCUGUCUCACUGUCUCUCUCUCUCUGCCUUUCGUAUAAAAAAAAAAGGCCUCAUUUUCAAUUUGAACUGCAAACAACUCCACAUUAAAAAUGAAAAGGUUCAUAGCCCACAAGAGCUACAUCAGCCUGGUGCAAGCUGCGACCUCAAGCCUCCAUAGUCAUUCUUUCUCUGAAUGGGCAGGCCCUGACUAUUACCUUGCUCUGCCCACUUAAUUUUUGCAAAGAAAAUUUCACAUGUAGCAGCCAGUUCCCUGAAGUGAAGAUUUCCUUAUGACUUUCACAGUGCCAGUUAAGUAAGAUAUCCACAUAUCUUUGUUAACAGCCACUUAACAACUUUGCAUCAUUUAAAAUGCCAGGCCAAUGAGCUGACGGUGGCCCUAGAAGGUGGCCCUAGAAGAUAACAGCAUUCAGGCGGGGGCCAGAAAUUGAUACUUCCAGUCAUUCUUGGUGGUUUGCCUGCACCGACUUUGUGAGCCAGCUCAUGAUCUCAGGAUGUAUGAAAAAAUAACAAUUGCACUACUAUUGUUCGGUGUUGUUUCCACACAGCUCAGAACACCUGUCAAAGCUCUCAACGAAACAGAACGUGGAAAUGGCAAUGGUUCUGUAGAAAAGCCAGAUGUUGUUUCCACACAGCUCAGAACACCUGUCAAAGCUCUCAACGAAACAGAACGUGGAAAUGGCAAUGGUUCUGUAGAAAAGCCAGGUUUGUUUUUAUUCUUGUAUGGUUUCUCUGGAGUCCCUUUUGGAACACCACUGUAUUGAAUGGGACCUGCCAUUGUAUGGACACUGUGACAAACAAGAAAUGGAAGCUGAGUUGAUGGUCCCUACUGCAGGACAAUGCUCACUUCUGAGAUAUCUCACAGAAAUAAUCCUAUGGUUAAGGAAAACAAAAUAAUCUAAGGGAGCACAGAAGGAAUGAAUGAAAUGGUGACCUGAUGAAGGGGUCCCAUAAUGCAGUGAUGGAUGAAGAGGACCAGUGGGAAAAUCCAGAUGGGCUCAGGGCUGGGCUGGUCCUGUGCCAGCUACUGACCCAGGGGUGAACUCCCUGUCUAAAUUUCAAAGUGGGACCAGUAAUCCUUGCCUUGCAGUGUUUCUCUAAAGAUUGAAUAAGACGAUGUAUGCAUAAGUGUUAAGCUCAGAGCCUGACAUAGCAUCAGUCCCUCAUAGAUGAUAUCUGUAAGCCAAGCUGUGUGCUGAGAUCAGCAUGGUCAGAGAGUGUUCACUCCCUCUCAUUAUUUUUCUAGGGAGAACAUGGCUUUAUAGUAGAAAGGGCAGGGGGAUCUUCUCUAUGUGGGAUUCAAGAAGGAUACCCCAGAUUUAAAAUACAACCUGAAAGAAGACUUAGAGAGGCCACAGGACCACAAGCUAAUAGAAUUGUUGAGCAAAUGCACAGAGACCAACGGAGGCAAUGGGUUUUAAGUAGAACAAAAGCCAAGGGAGGGAAAUUGGGAUGACAUUAGAGAAAUCAGAAGUAGUUAUUAAGCUCCUGGGUCCAGUUAGACAACUUCACUUUCAAAUGAUUUCCAAGUGAAGCCAACGUGAUGGUGUGAUAUGGGAAGCACUGAAGGGCUACAUGCCCGGUGUCCUAUAAAUGAUGACUGCAUGGUGGGGCAUUGCACUGAGUGUUUACAUGUGUGACCUAAUCUCAUCCUCAUGAGAACCCAUAACAAGUCAGGGGCAUCCUCACGACUGAAACUCCACCUUUUUUUCCCAAGCCCUUUAAAUGAGGGUAUUUCCAAAAAUUCAUAGAAAAUAGAAUUAAAAUAUAGGUUUUUUUGUUGCAAAAUUUUUGAAAUCCAUUCCUAGUUUCUUCAUUGUAUUCACUUUCAUGAACUUUUUGAAGACUCCUCACACUAACUACCAGCAUUGACUGUAUAUUACAGUAUGUGCUUGUGGGUGAUCCUGUGAGGUUGCCUGCCCUGACCAUGCAAGAUCUUGAGAGGGCAUGGCGCGCUGUGCCCUCUGGGAGAGACCCCCCCCCCACCAGCCUGGCUGCUGGCUGGCAGUGGGAGCCCCAGGCACAUUUCUCCCCACCCCCAGCAAGCAGGUAAACUGCUUCUAGGUGUGGCCAGGCCACCUGGAAAGCCAUCCUAGCUAUGUGACCUUCAAAUGAUUGGGCACGCAUAGCAGUGCCAAUAUCAGCUUCAACCUAUGGAAUUAGUAUUGUCCUCAAUUAGUUAGGCUCCCUCUGUCUGCUCUCUGCUUGGUCGUUAAUAAAGCAGACAUGUUCACCGAACCCUGUCCCUGG
Molecule: long non-coding RNA, 2418 nt
Filed under: Oryctolagus cuniculus (rabbit)
Lineage: Eukaryota; Metazoa; Chordata; Mammalia; Lagomorpha; Leporidae
Description: lncRNA (ENSOCUG00000033540.1)
Source: RNAcentral